This 258-nucleotide ribosomal RNA is filed under the name uncultured bacterium. RNAcentral's name for it is "partial 16S ribosomal RNA". It matches the Rfam family "Bacterial small subunit ribosomal RNA", at positions 76 to 334 of the family's 1533-position model. The record is from RNAcentral.
UUGCAAACUAAAGAUGGCGACCGGCGCACGGGUGAGUAACACGUAUCCAACCUGCCGAUAACUCGGGGAUAGCCUUUCGAAAGAAAGAUUAAUAUCCGAUAGUAUAUUAAAACCGCAUGGUUUUACUAUUAAAGAAUUUCGGUUAUCGAUGGGGAUGCGUUCCAUUAGUUUGUUGGCGGGGUAACGGCCCACCAAGACUACGAUGGAUAGGGGUUCUGAGAGGAAGGUCCCCCACAUUGGAACUGAGACACGGUCCAA